This 450-nucleotide ribosomal RNA is filed under the name uncultured bacterium. Its description in RNAcentral is "bacterial SSU rRNA". It matches the Rfam family "Bacterial small subunit ribosomal RNA", at positions 354 to 796 of the family's 1533-position model. The record is from RNAcentral.
GUGAGGAAUUUUCCACAAUGGGCGAAAGCCUGAUCCAGCCAUGCCGCGUGUGUGAAGAAGGUCUUCGGAUUGUAAAGCACUUUAAGUUGGGAGGAAGGGCAGUAAGUUAAUACCUUGCUGUUUUGACGUUACCGACAGAAUAAGCACCGGCUAACUUCGUGCCAGCAGCCGCGGUAAUACGAAGGGUGCAAGCGUUAAUCGGAAUUACUGGGCGUAAAGCGCGCGUAGGUGGUUUUGUAAGUUGGAGGUGAAAUCCCCGGGCUCAACCUGGGAACUGCCACAAAAACUGCAUGACUAGAGUACGGUAGAGGGUAGUGGAAUUUCCUGUGUAGCGGUGAAAUGCGUAGAUAUAGGAAGGAACACCAGUGGCGAAGGCGACUACCUGGACUGAUACUGACACUGAGGUGCGAAAGCGUGGGGAGCAAACAGGAUUAGAUACCCGAGUAGUCC